RNAcentral lists this ribosomal RNA (490 nucleotides) under uncultured bacterium. Its description in RNAcentral is "partial 16S ribosomal RNA". It matches the Rfam family "Bacterial small subunit ribosomal RNA", at positions 30 to 507 of the family's 1533-position model. The record is from RNAcentral.
AUUGAACGCUGGCGGCAGGCCUAACACAUGCAAGUCGAACGGUAACAGGAAGAAGCUUGCUUCUUUGCUGACGAGUGGCGGACGGGCGAGUAAUGUCUGGGAAACUGCCUGAUGGAGGGGGAUAACUACUGGAAACGGUAGCUAAUACCGCAUAACGUCGCAAGACCAAAAAGGGGGCCCUUCGGGCCCCUUGCCAUCGGAUGUGCCCAGAUGGGAUUAGCUAGUAGGUGGGGUAACGGCUCACCUAGGCGACGAUCCCUAGCUGGUCUGAGAGGAUGACCAGCCACACUGGAACUGAGACACGGUCCAGACUCCUACGGGAGGCAGCAGUGGGGAAUAUUGCACAAUGGGCGCAAGCCUGAUGCAGCCAUGCCGCGUGUAUGAAGAAGGCCUUCGGGUUGUAAAGUACUUUCAGCGGGGAGGAAGGAAGUAAAGUUAAUACCUUUGCUCAUUGACGUUACCCGCAGAAGAAGCACCGGCUAACUCCGUG